GGAGGGGUGCCGGAGCGGUCCAUCGGGAGGGUUUGCUAAACCCUUGAGCCUAACGGCUCACGUGGGUUCGAAUCCCACCCCCUCCGCCA
Molecule: transfer RNA, 89 nt
Filed under: candidate division WWE3 bacterium RBG_19FT_COMBO_53_11
Lineage: Bacteria; candidate division WWE3
Description: tRNA-Ser
Rfam family: tRNA
About the family: Transfer RNA (tRNA) molecules are approximately 80 nucleotides in length. Their secondary structure includes four short double-helical elements and three loops (D, anti-codon, and T loops).
Source: RNAcentral